GGGUAAAUAGCUAAAUUAAGUUUAUUAUUUACGUUAAUAAGAUACCUGAUUAGGUUUUACUUU
RNAcentral lists this transfer RNA (63 nucleotides) under Cacopsylla melanoneura. Its description in RNAcentral is "tRNA-Val". The record is from RNAcentral. Lineage: Eukaryota; Metazoa; Arthropoda; Insecta; Hemiptera; Psyllidae.